Cloeon dipterum is the source of this 2071-nucleotide RNA transcript. It is a transcript of the gene named transmembrane protein 272-like, with no coding region annotated. The record is from RefSeq and is a predicted model, not a curated record. NCBI's taxonomy places the organism in Eukaryota, Metazoa, Arthropoda, Insecta, Ephemeroptera, Baetidae. The transcript is spliced from 10 exons.
CCGGUAGUGUGUUGAUUCGUUGAUAUCUUGAAAUCUCUAUAAUUUCGAGUUUCCACUAAUUUCUGAAAUAUUACUCGAUGACUUUUGUACUUUUCCCGCACGGAUUUUUCUAAUUUAAAUACCAUCAUUUUUAAAGGGACAUAUUGUGUUGAAAGGCCGGCAUCACACAACUUAAAUUAAAACAAUGGAGUGCCAAGAGAAAGGCCAAACAUCCUCUAUGGCUGCCGUGGGCUCUGAGGGCGUUGGCGAACCCUCGCAGAGUUUUCGGAUGGAAAUCGAACCGCAGAACGACUUCCCCAGCCCCAGUGCGCCCCCUCUGCCGCCACCAUCCUACGAAGAGGCGAUCGCCGCCCCGAGCGUGCCUCCGCCCUCGUUUCAGUCCUUAAUGACGGAAAUCCAAAAUGCUCGAGAAACUUCAGAAGGAUUGACUGAUUUUGGCAGCAAACUGUGCGACGCAAUCGCAAAUACAGUUGGCAUUACUGUGGUGAUUUUCAUGUUCGUUGGGCUCUUCGCUAUUUUAAGCGUAAUGGUCGGAAUGGUAGUUCUCGGCGCCCUUUACUUUCAUGAAUGCCCGGCCCAGCCUAUGAUUCCAAUAAUGCUGAUCAUUGGAGGAACCGUCUUGAUUCUGCUUAACAUAAUCAAUUGCGCCAAGAAAAAGCCACAGGGUGAAGAAGAGCGAAAAAAAUCAUCGACUGGGAAAAAAUUGUUCACGUUUUUAUUCAUCUUGUGGCUCGGUCUUUCCUCGUACUGGGUUUACGUGCAGUACAAGCCAAGCUCAAACCCUGAAGACCAAGACUAUUGCAACCCCGUGCUGUACAACUUUUACUUUUGGUUCCUCAACGUGACAAAUGUGAUUUUGCUGCUCUCUUGCAUAUGCUAGUGCAAAGAAACGUGUUCUCGUGUUCUGCGGUUAAAAGACGUUCUUUCAAAGACAUAUAAGGUUUCUCCCACUUGUUAUUUGACAAGUGAUGCUAUACGUAGAUGGCAGUCGUGGCUAUCACCACCUUCUCACUACUCAACUCUUCAAUAACUCAACAAAAACGUAAUGCUGCAGACCUUCUAUCCAGCUCAAACCAACAACAUCGUGCGAAAGGAGCCGUAGCAAAACAAACGUGGCGCAAUCGACAUUCCAAAGCAAGUGGUAUUAAUGAAAGUGUUCAAUCAGCCGUAAGGUAACCAUAGUUAAAUUUGUUUUGAAAUGCAGUGAGGGAUAAGAGGGAACACACCAAAAGGCUAUGACGUGGAGACCAAGCGAUUAUUUAGAUCCUGAGGAAGUACCUCUGAUUAAAUUAAAGAAUGAAAUUACACAAGACAUCGGCAAGAUUGUUGACAAGCACCGAGAAGAAAAUUAUGGCGAAAUCACAGAAUUUUGGUCGCUGGUCUAUUAUGUGGUUGCUAUACUUUUGGGCACCCUAUUCCCCAUGGUGACCUUCGGCGCCCUUUACUACGACAACUGUCCAGCUGAUCCAGUUUUACCACAGUUGCUCAUUUUUGGAGGGCUCAUCACAUUUGCCGUCUGCAUCGCCGUUUCAGUCAAGUACAUGCGAUUUAUGACCAAGUUGUGCAACGUGUGCCAUGGAUGGCUAAGGCUGUACAUUUAUUGCAGCCUCUGGAUCAUUAUAGCAAUGUACUUUAUCUGGCUCAUUUACUCCUUGUGCAAAGUGGCCGAACAAUAUGACUCCAGCAGUGACCCCCAAGCUGAUGACUAUUGCCACCCGUUCUUCUACAAUUUCUUCGCUACCGUUCUUUUCAUAUCAUUUGCAGUUUUGCUGCUUAUGACUAUCACUUCUAAUUGUUUUGAACAAGGUACUACCGUAAUCUAAAUUUUUACUUUUAUAUAGAAAAUUGGCAUGAUGGAUAAAUUUUCUGACCUUUUUUUAGCCUCACGAGAGCAAACACGUGUAUCGAUUUUACUUGAUCUCUGAAUCUUUUAUUGAAUCUGAAGAAAUCAUAUCUGAGGACGAAAUUUGUUCUUAAGAUAUAUUAUUGAAUUAACAAAUGCUUAACAUGGAGACUAUUUAUGUCAAAGCAAUGUUUAUAGCCAAUAAACUUUAUUUUAUUGAUUUAAAAA